GACGAACGCUGGCGGCGUGCUUUACACAUGCAAGUCGAACGGAGUGGCGAACGGGUGAGUAACACGUGGGUGAUCUGCCCUGCACUUCGGGUUAAGCUUGGGAAACUGGGUCGAAUACCGGAGUGUGCAAGAUGAGCUCGCGGCCUAUCAGCUUGUUGGUGGGGUAAUGGCCUACUACGGCGCCGACUGGUAGGCGGCCUGAGAGGGUGUACGGCCACAUUGGGACUGAGAUACGGCCCAGACUCCUACGUUAGGCAGCAGUGUGGAGUUUUGCGCAAUGGGCGGAAGCCUGAUGCAGCGACGCCGCGUGGGGGAUGAAGGCCUUCGGGUUAUAAACUCCUUUCGACAGGGACGCGGUACCUGUAUAAGAAGCACCGGCUAACUACGUGCCAGCAGCCGCGGUAAUUC
RNAcentral lists this ribosomal RNA (408 nucleotides) under uncultured bacterium. RNAcentral describes it as "partial 16S ribosomal RNA". It matches the Rfam family "Bacterial small subunit ribosomal RNA", at positions 28 to 526 of the family's 1533-position model. The record is from RNAcentral.